Molecule: unclassified non-coding RNA, 434 nt
Filed under: Senecio macranthus
Lineage: Eukaryota; Viridiplantae; Streptophyta; Magnoliopsida; Asterales; Asteraceae
Description: partial contains external transcribed spacer and 18S ribosomal RNA
Rfam family: Eukaryotic small subunit ribosomal RNA (bases 370-434)
Source: RNAcentral
CAACUUCCACCUGGCUUACCUCCNUCAAUUUUGCGUCAUGACUUGUAUUGUCUUUGAGCGUAUUGUGGGUUUCCUGUGUUGCAUACCUAACUAAUGGUAUUGUUUUGGUUGAUUGAAGUCCCUUUUCGUCUUGUGUUGCCUUUGUGACGCAUGAUGAACCUUGAAGUGGUCUCUAUGUUCCACCACGUUUAUGCUAGUGUUUUGAUGUUGUGGCCCAUUGAGUUUUGCUUGGUUUUGUGGAUACAGAACAUGAUUUGGGCAUAGGGUCACUUGUGACUCUUGUUCUGUCCUUUAACGGUGUUCUUUAUAACGAUGGUUCAUGUGCGCCUWGGCUUGUACCUGCGCGAUGUUCUUGUCGAAGAGGAAUGCUACCUGGUUGAUCCUGCCAGUAGUCAUAUGCUUGUCUCAAAGAUUAAGCCAUGCAUGUGUAAGUA